CCCGGGGUCCUUUGGCCAGUGGAGUCCAGGGCAGGUGCUCUGUUAGCCUGGGACACAAACACACACCCAUGCUGGUGUUAGGACUGCAUAGUAUGGAGGUUUGGCAAUAGGGACACUACCAUUGUCAUAAUUUCUCUGUAAAUGUAAACUGGGUCUUCAAAAGUCACCUCUCAAGCCGGGGGUGGAGAGGUGUGCACGCUUGUAAUCUCAGCAGUCAGGAGGAUGGCAAGUUUGAGCCCAGCCUGGGAUACACAGUAAGACCUUGUUUAAAAACAAAAACUUUCUUUUUAAAGAUGAAAGUUUCUACAAUGAAAUAGCUCAUUUUCAUUCUGGUCUCCUUGACAGGUCCCUUUAUCAGGGACAACUGAUGUUACAAGGUUUGUGUAUAUUUUUCUGGGGGAAUUCUAUUUUUUUUUUUUGGUACCAGGGAUUGAACUUGGGUCCUUGUGCUUGCGCAGCAGGCAGCAAAACCACUGAAAUCCCCGGGUCAAGGAGGAAUUCUAUUUGAAUACAAAAAUUUAUAAACCUUCAGAGCCCUCCCUCCCUUUGUUGUACACAACAGACAGUGCUGUGCACACUGCAGCUGCUUGGCUGGCCUUGAACUCUGACCCUCCUGCCUCAGCCUCCCCAGCGCUGACAUGACAGGCAUGUGCCACCACAGCUGGCUCAGACUUUGUAAUUGUUGCUCAUUUGGAUAAUGGCAUCUAUUCUGGUUUACAUUUGAAUUUUUCCAACUGCUAAGGAUGUGGGACACCUCUUACGGUUUAGCAGCCAUCUAGAUUUCGUCUUCGGUGAAGCACUUGUCCUAAGGUUUUGCCAGCCCCUUGUCUUUGCUUCAUAGCAGCUUUGUAUAUUGAGAACUGGCCCCAAGGUUCAUGUCUGCAGAUGUCUCUGGCACUAUCCGCCUUGCCCUUUUGCCCAGGCCCACCCCCAAGCUGGGGAUUGGGCUGGGACUUUGCACUGAGCUAUGGCCCGAGCUGCUCUUGAUAGUCUUAGCCUCGUCCAGGCUGACCUCAAACUUGGAAUCCUCCUGCUUUGGCCUCCCCAGUAGCUAGGAUGAUAGAAGUGUGUUACUGUGCCCAACUUCAAUUAUGUGUCACUCUGUUUCCCGUUCCCUGGAGAUAUUUUCAAGUUUACAUUUUUGUUGUUCUGAGUCUUUGUAGUCCAGCCCAGCUUCAAGCUCUGAUCCUCCUGCCUCAGCCUCCUGUGUGCUGAUUAUGGGAUAUGCCACCACGCCUGCUGACCAUGCAUGCCAUCUGCACUCAACACUCGGCACGUGCAGCUCACCUAUUCUUACCUACAACCCUGACACCCGAGAUGUGAAUCUCAUCCUACUCCAACCCAGUUCUCAC
Molecule: long non-coding RNA, 1352 nt
Filed under: Heterocephalus glaber (naked mole-rat)
Lineage: Eukaryota; Metazoa; Chordata; Mammalia; Rodentia; Bathyergidae
Description: lncRNA (ENSHGLG00100052449.1)
Source: RNAcentral